Molecule: unclassified non-coding RNA, 329 nt
Filed under: soil metagenome
Description: partial contains 5.8S ribosomal RNA, internal transcribed spacer 2, and large subunit ribosomal RNA
Rfam family: 5.8S ribosomal RNA (bases 1-120)
Source: RNAcentral
GAUGAAGAACGUAGCGAAAUGCGAUAAGUAGUGUGAAUUGCAGAAUUCAGUGAAUCAUCGAAUCUUUGAACGCACAUUGCGCCCCUUGGUAUCCCGAGGGGCAUGCCUGUUCGAGCGUCAUUUCAUCACUCAAGCCUGGCUUGGUGUUGGGCGACGUCCCCUUUGGGGACGCGCCUCGAAACGCUCGGCGGCGUGGCACCGGCUUUAAGCGUAGCAGAAUCUUUCGCUUUGGAAGUCGGGGCCCCGUCUGCCGGAAGACCUACUCGCAAGGUUGACCUCGGAUCAGGCAGGGAUACCCGAUGAACUUAAGCAUAUCAAUAAGCGGAGGA